AAUUUAAUUUAUUUUAAGAUUUUUCCUCAUGAGCUUAGUUAGGAUGAAGUUUACCAACGUAGCAAGGGCAUUAAAUAAUAUAGAGAAACCUUCAGUGACUAAUCAUAAAUUGCAUUUGGAAAAUGAGCUUCUCAAACAUCAUCACAUGGGCGAAAUAUCAACCCAAUUGACAAUCUUUAUUAAUUUGAACUAAUCUUAGAUGUAGGAUUGA
Molecule: unclassified non-coding RNA, 211 nt
Filed under: Hevea brasiliensis (rubber tree)
Lineage: Eukaryota; Viridiplantae; Streptophyta; Magnoliopsida; Malpighiales; Euphorbiaceae
Source: RNAcentral